UGGAUGCCGUGUAUCGUGCUUGCGGUGUAUUCAAUAUCCGUUCUCCGUUUUCAGCAGUAUUUAAGACGGUUAUUUCUCGUUUCUGGACAAUAUAUUCCAUUAAUUUUGUUUCUGGAUUUUAGCUAUGUUUUGAUUGGGGAACGCAGGUUUCAAAUUUUAUAAAUCACGAACAUCGACGCAAUUGUAAACAAAUAGGUGAACACACCGCCCAGUACGGAC
This is a non-coding RNA of Paramuricea clavata, 219 nucleotides long. The record is from the annotation of a GenBank genome assembly. Lineage: Eukaryota; Metazoa; Cnidaria; Anthozoa; Malacalcyonacea; Plexauridae.